CAAUAGCGUAUAUUAAAGUUGUUGCAGUUAAAACGCUCGUAGUCGGAUUUCGGGGCGGGGCCGCCGGUCUGCCGAUGGGUAUGCACUGGCGGGCGCGUCCUUCCUUCCGGAGACUGGCCCUACUCUUAACUGAGCGGGGUCGGGAAUCGGAUCGUUUACUUUGAAAAAAUCAGAGUGUUUCAAGCAGGCAGCUCGCUCUUGCAUGGAUUAGCAUGGGAUAAUGAAAUAGGACUUUGGUGCUAUUUUGUUGGUUUCGAACACCGAAGUAAUGAUUAACAGGGACAGUCAGGGGCACUCGUAUUCCGCCGAGAGAGGUGAAAUUCUCAGACCAGCGGAAGACGAACCACUGCGAAAGCAUUUGCCAGGGAUGUUUUCACUGA
Molecule: ribosomal RNA, 380 nt
Filed under: uncultured eukaryote
Lineage: Eukaryota
Description: partial 18S ribosomal RNA
Rfam family: Eukaryotic small subunit ribosomal RNA
Source: RNAcentral